Felis catus (domestic cat) is the source of this 4071-nucleotide long non-coding RNA. RefSeq lists it as uncharacterized. The record is from RefSeq and is a predicted model, not a curated record. The transcript is spliced from 5 exons. NCBI's taxonomy places the organism in Eukaryota, Metazoa, Chordata, Mammalia, Carnivora, Felidae.
GGGCUGUAGGUGGGACUGUCUCGCGCUUCGGCUUGAAAAAGAGCCAACGGUCGUCGGCGUCGUCGUCCUCGUCGGUCCUCGUGAGGACACCGUUGUUCUGGUGGCCAGACCGGUGAUCGUGCUGAUGGGACCUGCGGAACCCCUCGCAGCCCCGGCCACGUGGGGGGAGAAGUUGGUUUCGGGACCUUGGGAUCACUACCUGCACGCUGAUUCUUCUCUCUACCUCUGGUUUUGGAGGAAACCCAAGGGAUAAGCAUCUUCUUUUCCCCCUGUGAUAAGCACGUCGGUAGCUGCUCGAUAACUGCCGCUUCUUCACCCUCCGUCCCAGAGUUAGACAUGUUGAGUGGACCACAGUGUGACCCAUAGCCUGGAGCAGAACCCCAGCGGGCCACGGCUGACCACAAACCUGUAAGUGAGAAAGGAAUGCAUCUUUUUGCAAGCUACGAAUACACGCAGGCUUUUUAACUACAGCAAGAGUUAACGCAGUUCUCAUUUAGAAAGGGGAAGAAUGGGAGACACAGAACAGUCUGGGCUGUGAUCAUUUUAAAAUCCCCUUGGAAGAUGCCGUGAAGUUUCUCUACUCUUGGCCCUGGGAAAGUUCCUUGAUCAGACUCUGAUUCUGCACUCUGAGAGAACUCCCUUGUUCCUUGACCUCCGUGGCUCAUGGAUCUACCCUUGGGGGAGGGGGUGUUCCUUGUUCAUUGUUCUCCUUGGCCACAUCUGAGAUGAGUUUUGGGGAGAAAUCUCUCGUUUGGUGCUGCAGAGCCUUUGAAGUUGCCCUGCUACUCAUGGAAAGUUGGAGGACCCGGGUUUGUUUUUUUUGUCUACGGUAGUCCAGGGCAUUUCAGUCUCGACUUACAGUUUCUUUAACAGUAUAAUUACCUCCAAAUUUAGUAAUCUAUUUUUACAUAGUUCCGUGCGCUGCAACGACAAAGUUUUUUCUGGACAUAAUUCUCAAAUAUCUUUUCUUUCUUUACCCCCGUACCUCUCUCAAAUUAUGGCUAAAAAUACUUAGAACAACGUGUGGAAAGACCGCCCCCUUAAUUUGGUCUCUGUCUGGAGUCACUUUGAGAAGUUUUAGUAGGCAAAACUUCAUUUGUGUCCUGCACCCACAUGGUUUUUCCAACUUUGCAAGGCCCUUGUUUUCUGGGUCCACCUGUAUCCUUUUAUUUCUCUUCAGAAACCAACCACUUCUUUCGUGGGUCAUCUUUUUCACAUAAUAUCCUCCCAAACAGAGUCAAUACAACCUAACGCGUGCUGCUAACAUUUUGCAUUUCAUCCUCAUCCAUUAUAAUACCGACUAUGGUAACGUCACCAUCUGUACUGAUAGAACCAAAUGUUUUGCCAUUAACUGGAAUAGACCUUUAGUCAUCCAGCCCGUUUGGGUCUCCUUGCCAUCAAGCUGCCCGACCCCUAAGGCAGUGCUGCAUAUUUUCUUGUUUCAUCCAUUUCGGGCAUCAGUUGCUGUAUUCAGUGAGAUUAGGCUUUAGAGUGAACACCUUGGAGGGGCACCUGCAUAGCUCAGUCGGUUAAGCGUCUGACUUUUUGAUUUUGGCUCAGGUUGUGAUCUUAACAGUUCAUGAGUUCGAGCCCUGCACUGGGCACUGUGCUGGCAGUGCAGAGUCUGCUUGGGAUUCUCUCUCGUCCUCUGUCUCUGCCCCUCCCCCGCUCGAGCUCUUUUUCUCUCUCAAAAUACACGAAUCAUCAUUAAAAACAUGUUCUUUAAAUGCAUAUCUUGGCAGUUGUGAGUACAAAAGUGUCUGAAGAGACCGAAGCAAAAAUGACCGUUUAGGAGGAUAAUGUUCUUAUUGAAGCACAAGUUUUAUGUAGGUCCUACCUACGGAUACUGUAUCAAAACCAAGUCCAACAGAUUUCCCAGUCAGUUGUUUUCAGUUAUUGCUGUCUGUAAAAUAGUGACGUCUUGCUCUCCUGAUAACUAAGAUGAACGAGAAACUUGGUAAUGAAUCAUGCCGUUUGGACAGCCUGUUAUUUCUAUCAUCAUACAAAUGAAAUAGAUUGUUUAUGAUUGACCAGAGUAACAACUGAAAAUUUAAUGAAUCUGCCGCAGUCUUGUCACUUCAAACAUGAAAGGCAGUCUGUGGAGAGAACAUUCUUGCUUAGUUUCAGUGUAAGGAAUUCGGCAGUCAGCACGAGCUCCUCUGGUUAGAAAUGCAAACACAGGACCCUUGGGGCAAACACUUGCUCACUUGCUGUUUGAAUCCCCCUCAGGACCAAUUUCAAGCCCAAUAAAAUAUAUGAUUUUGACAUUAAUAGAAAAUACACAUUAACAAACACUCAGGUCAAGGAGAUCUAUGAAAUGCUGCUUAAUUUUGAGGCAGGAGCCUGUAAUACAGAUGCAUUAGGCAGAGUGAAUGUUUUCAGUGACCAGGCCUUUUUCCUCAGUAUCCGUAAAAAGAGCCCAAUAGAGAAACCAUUCUUCCAAAGAGUAGAAUGCGGACUCUCAGGACCUGGGCUCCCAAUUUGAGGCAUUCAGUCGAAAAUGAGGAGUUCAUCGUAUACCCAAAAAGAAAAAUCACUCCAGAUUCCCGUCCUGUGGUUUUGACUCCAGGCGCUGCUGUUUGGAGCAAGUCAAUUCUGUUAAAAUAAUUUCGGGAAUAUCGUUCCUUUGUCACUAAGAAACGUGUUCAGCUGUGUUCACAAUGCGCUGUUUUACUUAAAGGUGAUACCCAUGUAAGUAUUUGUGACCAAAAAGGAAAGCGGCAGAAAAAAAGAAAGAGAUGGACUAGCUUCCACCAGAAGGUCUGUAGUUGCCCCUGGCUGUGUGGGGUCUCUGGAAACCAAACUCUGAGGUGGAUUGUAUGCAGGAAGUUGACUGGUGAGUGUUCUCAGAUCAGCACCUGUGGGGGUGUGAAGGCAGGAAGGCGGCAGAAGGAGACUUGGUGCAAUCAAAACAAAGGUUUCGUUGUGACACCUCGGAAGAUUCUGGAGCUGAAAUAUCCCUGCAGGUUUAUCCCCAACUGGGGUUAGGGCCCGGACCGUUAUUACCCUUCCCACAACUUUCCUCCCACUACUCCCCAUGCCCCACCCCGUAAGCAGCCCUCUCCAUCUCGACCAGUCAUUGAAUACAGACCGCCCGAGAGGAAGAGCUGCAAUUUGGGGGCAGGUUAUCUCUCCAGUUGUGGGAAGUCUCUGGAAAUUGACUCCGUGAGAAAAACCAGUCACCAACCCUCCCAACAGCGGAGGAGAUGAGUGUUCCUUCCAGUCCUGGAAGUGGGUAGGCGAGGCGGUGCCCCCGGUGCCCCAUAAUGUCCACUGCGCUUCUCCAUCUGGCAGAUACGCUGUUAACUGCUGUAUGAUUUGUUUUAAAGUUCUCUCUGCACCCAACGUGGGGCUUGAACUCACAACCUGGAGAUCAAGAAUCACCCGCUCUACCCACUGAGCCAGCCAGGUGCCCCCACUGUAGAAUUUAUUGUGCGGGCCUGUGUUGGGGGGCGGAGAGGGGGGGAUGAGAGAGGUGGUAACGGAGAUGGUGGAGGUGGCUAGGGAGGGAUUGGAGCCAGAUACAGGAUUUUUUCCUCCUAUGGAAUCAAAUAGCAUCAGUUUCCUUAUUGUUUAGCUUCUUCAGCAGCAGAUGAAGCCGUCAACGUCCGUUCAUUUAAAUGUAUCUAAGAAGAUUCCCCAGACUUCAGAGCUGGGAGGAACCUUGAAGAUCUUUCCGUGAAAAGCCCCAGAGAUGUUCAAAGGCCAACAUGAGAAGUUAGACUCGGGCUUCGUGCGCAUGCUUGAUGGCUGAGGCAUGACAAGUGUGGCUGAUACGGAAAGGUGAUGGUCAUCGUGGCAACCAUCUUCCCCAUCUUUUAUUCUAAAAGGACUGGGGACUCUGUUCAGAGUCCGAGGAAGACGUGAUGCUUGAAGCUGUUCUAGCCAUCUUGCGACUACGAGGGGACGGACCGGCUCUUGAAUGCCACGUGGUAUCGAGGAAGCCCUGGUUCUUGAUGCGGUGCUGCUGCAUGAACCGGCUCUGGAACUGCCUUCCUCGAGACUUCCGGGAGGCUUAUUUAUUUUUGAGAGAGAGAGAAAGCACAAGUGGGAGAGGGACAGAGAGAGAGG